AUACGUAGGUGGCGAGCGUUGUCCGGAAUUACUGGGCGUAAAGGAUGCGUAGGUGGAUAUUUAAGUGGGAUGUGAAAUCCCCGGGCUCAACCCGGGAACUGCAUUCCAAACUGGAUAUCUAGAGUGCAGGAGAGGAAAGCGGAAUUCCUAGUGUAGCGGUGAAAUGCGUAGAUAUUAGGAGGAACACCAGUGGCGAAGGCGGCUUCCUGGACUGUAACUGACACUGAGGCAUGAAAGCGUGGGUAGCAAACAGGAUUAGAUACCCUGGUAGUCCACGCCGUAAACGAUGGGUACUAGGUGUAGGAGGUAUCGACCCCUUCUGUGCCGUCGUUAACACAAUAAGUACCCCGCCUGGGGAGUACGGUCGCAAGACUAAAACUCAAAUGAAUUGACGGGG
RNAcentral lists this ribosomal RNA (397 nucleotides) under uncultured bacterium. RNAcentral describes it as "partial 16S ribosomal RNA". It matches the Rfam family "Bacterial small subunit ribosomal RNA", at positions 523 to 918 of the family's 1533-position model. The record is from RNAcentral.